RNAcentral lists this ribosomal RNA (564 nucleotides) under uncultured Alphaproteobacteria bacterium. RNAcentral's name for it is "bacterial SSU rRNA". It matches the Rfam family "Bacterial small subunit ribosomal RNA", at positions 335 to 916 of the family's 1533-position model. Lineage: Bacteria; Pseudomonadati; Pseudomonadota; Alphaproteobacteria. The record is from RNAcentral.
ACUCCUACGGGAGGCAGCAGUGGGGAAUAUUGGACAAUGGGGGCAACCCUGAUCCAGCAAUGCCGCGUGAGUGAUGAAGGCCUUCGGGUUGUAAAGCUCUUUUGGCGGGGACGAUGAUGACGGUACCCGCAGAAUAAGCCCCGGCUAACUUCGUGCCAGCAGCCGCGGUAAUACGAAGGGGGCUAGCGUUGUUCGGAAUUACUGGGCGUAAAGGGCGCGUAGGCGGUCCUGAUCGUCGGAUGUGAAAGGCCUGGGCUCAACCUGGGAACUGCAUCCGAUACGGCGGGACUGGAGUGUGGGAGAGGUUGGUGGAAUUCCCAGUGUAGAGGUGAAAUUCGUAGAUAUUGGGAAGAACACCGGUGGCGAAGGCGGCCAACUGGACCACAACUGACGCUGAGGCGCGAAAGCGUGGGGAGCAAACAGGAUUAGAUACCCUGGUAGUCCACGCUGUAAACGAUGCGUGCUAGACGUUGGGCACCCUAGGUGUCCGGUGUCGUCGCUAACGCUUUAAGCACGCCGCCUGGGGAGUACGGCCGCAAGGUUAAAACUCAAAGGAAUUGACGG